AUACGGAGGAUCCGAGCGUUAUCCGGAUUUAUUGGGUUUAAAGGGAGCGUAGGCGGACUAUUAAGUCAGCUGUGAAAGUUUGCGGCUCAACCGUAAAAUUGCAGUUGAUACUGGUCGUCUUGAGUGCAGUAGAGGUAGGCGGGAUUCGUGGUGUAGCGGUGAAAUGCUUAGAUAUCACGAAGAACUCCGAUUGCGAAGGCAGCUUACUGGACUGUAACUGACGCUGAUGCUCGAAAGUGUGGGUAUCAAACAGGAUUAGAUACCCUGGUAGUCCACACAGUAAACGAUGAAUACUCGCUGUUUGCGAUAUACGGCAAGCGGCCAAGCGAAAGCAUUAAGUAUUCCACCUGGGGAGUACGCCGGCAACGGUGAAACUCAAAUGAAUUGACGGGG
This 393-nucleotide ribosomal RNA is filed under the name uncultured bacterium. Its description in RNAcentral is "partial 16S ribosomal RNA". It matches the Rfam family "Bacterial small subunit ribosomal RNA", at positions 523 to 918 of the family's 1533-position model. The record is from RNAcentral.